This is a long non-coding RNA of Oxyura jamaicensis (ruddy duck), 148 nucleotides long. RefSeq lists it as uncharacterized. Lineage: Eukaryota; Metazoa; Chordata; Aves; Anseriformes; Anatidae. The record is from RefSeq and is a predicted model, not a curated record. The transcript has 4 exons.
AAAUGUGCAUUUAUGGAAGGCUGUCCAGUGUUCUUCUCUGGUUUUCAUCUGUUUUGGUUCACCUGCAGAAGUGGAAGAAGCACCAGAGGAGAAGGCACAGCCUAGCAGUUCAUUUUGACAAAUCUCUAGUUCUUUAGACAAAGAUAGG